Molecule: long non-coding RNA, 501 nt
Filed under: Nicotiana benthamiana
Lineage: Eukaryota; Viridiplantae; Streptophyta; Magnoliopsida; Solanales; Solanaceae
Description: long non-coding RNA (NBEN_LNC027206)
Source: RNAcentral
UCACUUUAUGGCUUAGCUGGCCAAUAAUUUCUCUAAUCUUUGCCAUCUUUCAUAUGAAAUUAAGAGUCAUCAUUCAAGACCUCUAUGGCUGCCACCGAAAUGGUUAUUAGUAUUAUCCAAAAAUCAUCCACCUAAUUUCUUAAUCAAUUCAUUAAUCCCCACUAACCCAAUAAUUAAUCAAUUAUUCACGUAAUUAAGAAUUAUCUCGAAUUUCUUAAAAUACUACUCACUGUUAACACACCUUAUAUAUUUUACUAACAUUUGUCUUGUAGUACCUUGUAUAGCACUAGUCCAUAAAUACCGGGUAUUUUAGCUUGGGCCGUACUUUACCCCAAAAUGCUAAACUUGGACAAAUUUUAUUUUCUUUGACUUGCUUCCCCUUUCACCUUCGUGUAUUUACUAAUCGCUUGUGAUAUAGCAUUCCUUAUUAUCUCCAAAUAGUCUUUUACUUGAACAGUUGUCAAUUAUUUUACGACAAAUUUAACGUACAAUGCAUUAGGG